This 65-nucleotide transfer RNA is filed under the name Metaplax longipes. RNAcentral's name for it is "tRNA-Asn". The record is from RNAcentral. Lineage: Eukaryota; Metazoa; Arthropoda; Malacostraca; Decapoda; Varunidae.
UGAUAGAAACCAAAAAAGAGGUGUAUCACUGUUAAUGAUAUAAAUGAGGCAAAUACUCCUAUCAA